RNAcentral lists this unclassified non-coding RNA (439 nucleotides) under Hevea brasiliensis (rubber tree). Lineage: Eukaryota; Viridiplantae; Streptophyta; Magnoliopsida; Malpighiales; Euphorbiaceae. The record is from RNAcentral.
GUUGAAUUCAAACAAAUAGUUCAUUUUGAAUGCAAUUCUUGGAUAUAUUCCAAUCAUUUAAUGCAAAAGGAAAGGAUUUUCUUCUCAAAUACUGUGAGUAAACCAUUUCUCGUAACAUGUAGUAGCUUUCAGCAACAGAUAUGUAGCUAGUGUCUUUGAUCAUCUUAUGAGUUUUAGUGUUAUCUUCCAAGCCAAACACCAAAUGGUCUGCUGCAACUGAGGAAACAAGAACUUGAUACAUUGAGAGGAGAUGGAAUUGAAGGGAGAAUUAGAGAAUGGCAUCGGGCUUAUGGCUAUGAUUUCUAUAAUGAUCUCGGUGAUCCUCAGAGAGGGGAAGGACCUAUUUUAGGAGGUUCAAUUCACUAUCCAUAUCCAAGGAGAGGAAAAACUGGUGAACCACAUAUUGACUCAGGCAAGAAAUUUUCUCCCUUCUAAUAUA